RNAcentral lists this transfer RNA (86 nucleotides) under Candidatus Paenalcaligenes intestinipullorum. It matches the Rfam family "tRNA". Rfam says of the family: Transfer RNA (tRNA) molecules are approximately 80 nucleotides in length. Their secondary structure includes four short double-helical elements and three loops (D, anti-codon, and T loops). Further hydrogen bonds mediate the characteristic L-shaped molecular structure. tRNAs have two regions of fundamental functional importance: the anti-codon, which is responsible for specific mRNA codon recognition, and the 3' end, to which the tRNAs corresponding amino acid is attached (by aminoacyl-tRNA synthetases). tRNAs cope with the degeneracy of the genetic code in two manners: having more than one tRNA (with a specific anti-codon) for a particular amino acid; and 'wobble' base-pairing, i.e. permitting non-standard base-pairing at the 3rd anti-codon position. The record is from RNAcentral. Lineage: Bacteria; Pseudomonadati; Pseudomonadota; Betaproteobacteria; Burkholderiales; Alcaligenaceae.
GACAGGUGGCCGAGUGGUUGAAGGCGCUCGCCUGGAAAGCGGGUAUACGUUCAUAGCGUAUCGAGGGUUCGAAUCCCUCCCUGUCC